UGGGGGAUUAGUGGCGAACGGGUGAGUAACACGUGAGUAACCUGCCCUUGACUCUGGGAUAAGCCUGGGAAACUGGGUCUAAUACCGGAUACGACCAUCUGACGCAUGUCAUGGUGGUGGAAAGCUUUUGUGGUUUUGGAUGGACUCGCGGCCUAUCAGCUUGUUGGUGGGGUAAUGGCCUACCAAGGCGACGACGGGUAGCCGGCCUGAGAGGGUGACCGGCCACACUGGGACUGAGACACGGCCCAGACUCCUACGGGAGGCAGCAGUGGGGAAUAUUGCACAAUGGGCGCAAGCCUGAUGCAGCGACGCCGCGUGAGGGAUGACGGCCUUCGGGUUGUAAACCUCUUUCAGUAGGGAAGAAGCGAAAGUGACGGUACCUGCAGAAGAAGCGCCGGCUAACUACGUGCCAGCAGCCGCGGUAAUACGUAGGGCGCAAGCGUUAUCCGGAAUUAUUGGGCGUAAAGAGCUCGUAGGCGGUUUGUCGCGUCUGCUGUGAAAGACCGGGGCUCAACUCCGGUUCUGCAGUGGGUACGGGCAGACUAGAGUGCAGUAGGGGAGACUGGAAUUCCUGGUGUAGCGGUGAAAUGCGCAGAUAUCAGGAGGAACACCGAUGGCGAAGGCAGGUCUCUGGGCUGUAACUGACGCUGAGGAGCGAAAGCAUGGGGAGCGAACAGGAUUAGAUACCCUGGUAGUCCAUGCCGUAAACGUUGGGCACUAGGUGUGGGGGACAUUCCACGUUUUCCGCGCCGUAGCUAACGCAUUAAGUGCCCCGCCUGGGGAGUACGGCCGCAAGGCUAAAACUCAAAGGAAUUGACGGGGGCCCGCACAAGCGGCGGAGCAUGCGGAUUAAUUCGAUGCAACGCGAAGAACCUUACCAAGGCUUGACAUGAACCGGAAAGACCUGGAAACAGGUGCCCCGCUUGCGGUCGGUUUACAGGUGGUGCAUGGUUGUCGUCAGCUCGUGUCGUGAGAUGUUGGGUUAAGUCCCGCAACGAGCGCAACCCUCGUUCUAUGUUGCCAGCGCGUUAUGGCGGGGACUCAUAGGAGACUGCCGGGGUCAACUCGGAGGAAGGUGGGGACGACGUCAAAUCAUCAUGCCCCUUAUGUCUUGGGCUUCACGCAUGCUACAAUGGCCGGUACAAAGGGUUGCGAUACUGUGAGGUGGAGCUAAUCCCAAAAAGCCGGUCUCAGUUCGGAUUGGGGUCUGCAACUCGACCCCAUGAAGUCGGAGUCGCUAGUAAUCGCAGAUCAGCAACGCUGCGGUGAAUACGUUCCCGGGCCUUGUACACACCGCCCGUCAAGUCACGAAAGUUGGUAACACC
Molecule: ribosomal RNA, 1325 nt
Filed under: Paenarthrobacter sp.
Lineage: Bacteria; Bacillati; Actinomycetota; Actinomycetes; Micrococcales; Micrococcaceae
Description: bacterial SSU rRNA
Rfam family: Bacterial small subunit ribosomal RNA
Source: RNAcentral